GAUCGACAGCCGGCCUGAGAGGGCACACGGCCACACUGGCACUGAAACACGGGCCAGACUCCUACGGGAGGCAGCAGUGGGGAAUCUUGCACAAUGGGGGAAACCCUGAUGCAGCGACGCCGCGUGAGCGAUGAAGCCCCUCGGGGUGUAAAGCUCUUUCGGCAGGGAAGAUUAUGACGGUACCUGCAAAAGCAGCUGCGGCUAACUACGUGCCAGCAGCCGCGGUAAUACGUAGGCAGCAAGCGUUGUUCGGAGUUACUGGGCGUAAAGGGUGCGUAGGCGGCUUGUUAAGUUUGGUGUGAAAUCUCCCGGCUCAACUGGGAGGGUGCGCCGAAUACUGAGAGGCUAGAGUGUGGGAGAGGAAAGUGGAAUUCCUGGUGUAGCGGUGAAAUGCGUAGAUAUCAGGAGGAACACCGGUGGUGUAAACGGCUUUCUGGACCAUAACUGACGCUGAGGCACGAAAGCGUGGGUAGCAAACAGGAUUAGAUACCCUGGUAGUCCACGCCCUAAACGAUGCAUAUUUGGUGUGGGCCAUUCAUUUGGUCCGUGCCGGAGCUAACGCGUUAAAUAUGCCGCCUGGGGAGUACAGUCGCAAGGCUGAAACUCAAAGGAAUUGACGGGGGCCCGCACAAGCGGUGGAGCAUGUGGUUUAAUUCGACGCAACGCGAAGAACCUUACCUGGGCUCGAAAUGCUAUGGACCAGCUGGUGAAAGCCGGCCUUCCCGCAAGGGACUGUAGUAUAGGUGCUGCAUGGCUGUCGUCAGCUCGUGUCGUGAGAUGUUGGGUUAAGUCCCGCAACGAGCGCAACCCUUGUCCUGUGUUGCCAUCAUUCAGUUGGGAACUCGCAGGAGACCGCCAGGGAUAACCUGGAGGAAGGGGGAUGACGUCAAGUCCUCAUGGCCUUUAUGUCCAGGGCUACACACGUGCUACAAUGGACGGUACAAAGGGCUGCCAACCCGCAAGGGGGAGCCAAUCCCAAAAAACCGUUCUCAGUUCGGAUUGCAGGCUGCAACUCGCCUGCAUGAAGCUGGAAUCGCUAGUAAUGGUGGAUCAGAACGCCACCGUGAAUACGUUCCCGGGCCUUGUACACACCGCCCGUCACAUCACGAAAGUGGGUUGUACUAGAAGUCCGCGCGCCGACCCGCAAGGGGGGCAGCGGCCCAAGGUGUGACUCAUGAUUGGGGUGAAGUCGUAACAAGGUAGCCGUAGGAGGACCUGCGGCUG
RNAcentral lists this ribosomal RNA (1224 nucleotides) under metagenome. RNAcentral's name for it is "bacterial SSU rRNA". It matches the Rfam family "Bacterial small subunit ribosomal RNA", at positions 278 to 1520 of the family's 1533-position model. The record is from RNAcentral.